RNAcentral lists this ribosomal RNA (416 nucleotides) under uncultured prokaryote. RNAcentral describes it as "partial 16S ribosomal RNA". The record is from RNAcentral.
CCCUAUGGGGCGCCUGGAUGCUGAGCCGCUGCACUUUCGGCGCACACACUUCAUGCUCGACACUCGGAAACAUAGCUCUCCUCUCUCCACUUUAGCGAAGCUGAUUCUUAUCGUAAGGUCCAAACCACCGACGCGCUUGCGGCACAUUUCGGAAGGAGCCAUGAUCGUCCCGGGAGGCGUCAGAAGGCUGAUGGUCGCCUUGCCCGAUUCCUCGCCAAGGCAGUGGGACAACUUGACUUCAUCGCCCAGCCUCAACCCCAUACUGAAGAAGGCCGUGGGAUUCAUCACGAUAACGCCGUCCGCAUCCAGCGCCGCCGCAGGGUCCGGGGCGAGCAAGGCGCCUUUGUAGAAAGGAUCGAAUUGCUCGCGGGGAACGACAGCGAAGGGAUGGUCCGCAUCUUUUUCGGCGGGAGAGC